RNAcentral lists this ribosomal RNA (301 nucleotides) under uncultured bacterium. Its description in RNAcentral is "partial 16S ribosomal RNA". It matches the Rfam family "Bacterial small subunit ribosomal RNA", at positions 509 to 807 of the family's 1533-position model. The record is from RNAcentral.
CAGCCGCCGCGGGAAUACAGAGGGUGCGAGCGUUAAUCGGAUUUACUGGGCGUAAAGCGUGCGUAGGCGGCUUCUUAAGUCGGAUGUGAAAUCCCUGAGCUUAACUUAGGAAUUGCAUUCGAUACUGGGAAGCUAGAGUAUGGGAGAGGAUGGUAGAAUUCCAGGUGUAGCGGUGAAAUGCGUAGAGAUCUGGAGGAAUACCGAUGGCGAAGGCAGCCAUCUGGCCUAAUACUGACACUGAGAGACGAAAGCUAGGGGAGCAAAUGGGAUUAGAUACCCGAGUAGUCCCUGUCUCUUAUAC